UACAGAGGGUGCAAGCGUUGUUCGGAAUUAUUGGGCGUAAAGGGCGCGUAGGCGGUGCGGUAAGUCUGCAGUGAAAUCUCUGGGCUCAACUCAGAGUCUGCUGUAGAAACUGCCGUGCUUGAGUGUGGGAGAGGUGAGUGGAAUUCCCGGUGUAGCGGUGAAAUGCGUAGAUAUCAGGAGGAACACCUGUGGCGAAAGCGGCGCACUGGACCACAACUGACGCUGAGGCGCGAAAGCGUGGGUAGCAAACAGG
Molecule: ribosomal RNA, 253 nt
Filed under: uncultured bacterium
Lineage: Bacteria
Description: partial 16S ribosomal RNA
Rfam family: Bacterial small subunit ribosomal RNA
Source: RNAcentral